AAAUUGAAGAGUUUGAUCAUGGCUCAGAUUGAACGCUGGCGGCAGGCCUAACACAUGCAAGUCGAGCGGUAGCACAGAGAGCUUGCUCUCGGGUGACGAGCGGCGGACGGGUGAGUAAUGUCUGGGAAACUGCCUGAUGGAGGGGGAUAACUACUGGAAACGGUAGCUAAUACCGCAUAACGUCGCAAGACCAAAGUGGGGGACCUUCGGGCCUCAUGCCAUCAGAUGUGCCCAGAUGGGAUUAGCUAGUAGGUGGGGUAACGGCUCACCUAGGCGACGAUCCCUAGCUGGUCUGAGAGGAUGACCAGCCACACUGGAACUGAGACACGGUCCAGACUCCUACGGGAGGCAGCAGUGGGGAAUAUUGCACAAUGGGCGCAAGCCUGAUGCAGCCAUGCCGCGUGUGUGAAGAAGGCCUUCGGGUUGUAAAGCACUUUCAGCGGGGAGGAAGGCGGUGAGGUUAAUAACCUCAUCGAUUGACGUUACCCGCAGAAGAAGCACCGGCUAACUCCGUGCCAGCAGCCGCGGUAAUACGGAGGGUGCAAGCGUUAAUCGGAAUUACUGGGCGUAAAGCGCACGCAGGCGGUCUGUCAAGUCGGAUGUGAAAUCCCCGGGCUCAACCUGGGAACUGCAUUCGAAACUGGCAGGCUAGAGUCUUGUAGAGGGGGGUAGAAUUCCAGGUGUAGCGGUGAAAUGCGUAGAGAUCUGGAGGAAUACCGGUGGCGAAGGCGGCCCCCUGGACAAAGACUGACGCUCAGGUGCGAAAGCGUGGGGAGCAAACAGGAUUAGAUACCCUGGUAGUCCACGCCGUAAACGAUGUCGAUUUGGAGGUUGUGCCCUUGAGGCGUGGCUUCCGGAGCUAACGCGUUAAAUCGACCGCCUGGGGAGUACGGCCGCAAGGUUAAAACUCAAAUGAAUUGACGGGGGCCCGCACAAGCGGUGGAGCAUGUGGUUUAAUUCGAUGCAACGCGAAGAACCUUACCUGGUCUUGACAUCCACAGAACUUAGCAGAGAUGCUUUGGUGCCUUCGGGAACUGUGAGACAGGUGCUGCAUGGCUGUCGUCAGCUCGUGUUGUGAAAUGUUGGGUUAAGUCCCGCAACGAGCGCAACCCUUAUCCUUUGUUGCCAGCGGUUAGGCCGGGAACUCAAAGGAGACUGCCAGUGAUAAACUGGAGGAAGGUGGGGAUGACGUCAAGUCAUCAUGGCCCUUACGACCAGGGCUACACACGUGCUACAAUGGCAUAUACAAAGAGAAGCGACCUCGCGAGAGCAAGCGGACCUCAUAAAGUAUGUCGUAGUCCGGAUUGGAGUCUGCAACUCGACUCCAUGAAGUCGGAAUCGCUAGUAAUCGUAGAUCAGAAUGCUACGGUGAAUACGUUCCCGGGCCUUGUACACACCGCCCGUCACACCAUGGGAGUGGGUUGCAAAAGAAGUAGGUAGCUUAACCUUCGGGAGGGCGCUUACCACUUUGUGAUUCAUGACUGGGGUGAAGUCGUAACAAGGUAACCGUAGGGGAACCUGCGGUUGGAUCACCUCCUUA
This 1540-nucleotide ribosomal RNA is filed under the name Klebsiella pneumoniae. RNAcentral's name for it is "bacterial SSU rRNA". It matches the Rfam family "Bacterial small subunit ribosomal RNA". RNAcentral also lists the same sequence under 5 other names. The record is from RNAcentral. Lineage: Bacteria; Pseudomonadati; Pseudomonadota; Gammaproteobacteria; Enterobacterales; Enterobacteriaceae.